GCCAUGAGGGGCGGGUGGUGCGGCGGGACCGGGCGGCCGCCAUGAGCUUUUAGUGUCUGGAAGUGCCCGGCGGCCCGGCCUGGCUGGUAACUGAGGACCUGGGAGCGGAGCGUUCACUGUGCCGAUUAGAAGGCAUUUCUCAGCCUGCUUCUGGGUUUGAUUUCUUAAUAUAUGGUUUUUCCCCCUUCUGCAAGCCAGGUCCCUGCUGUUGAGUGCUAUUAAUACAGAUUUAAUUAACUGAUUAUUUGAAGUGAUGUUUCGCUUGUGCUCUUUCUAGUGCUGAGGCGUGGAGUCUGGGGUGGCAGAGAAGAGCCUGGCAGGCAAAUGGUUGGCAUGUUCCACUGCAGGAGGGGGCUCACUGCAGCAGCAGCGCUUGCCAGAAGGAGACAAAUAAUGCUGGUGGUGCUGCUUUUGAGACUUCUGUUCAAAAGAGAUGAUGAAGAUGGAAAGUUACAGUCCACAGUUUAAAUGGGACUGCUGGAGAAGUACUUGUUUUCAGGAUCUAGAUGUAGUAACUCAAAACAUCAGAGGUGGCUGGAGGCAAGGUCUAAUAAUUACAUACACAGUUUCUUCAUUGUUAAUUCCCUCUCACUGCUUGUUUAAAACUAUUUUUUCAGUGACUUCUAUUUAUUAAAAUUAUUUUCAUUUAAA
Calypte anna (Anna's hummingbird) is the source of this 651-nucleotide long non-coding RNA. RefSeq lists it as uncharacterized. The transcript has 3 exons. The record is from RefSeq and is a predicted model, not a curated record. NCBI's taxonomy places the organism in Eukaryota, Metazoa, Chordata, Aves, Apodiformes, Trochilidae.